AUUGAACGCUGGCGGCAUGCCUUACACAUGCAAGUCGAACGGUAACAGGUCUUCGGAUGCUGACGAGUGGCGAACGGGUGAGUAAUACAUCGGAACGUGCCCGAUCGUGGGGGAUAACGAGGCGAAAGCUUUGCUAAUACCGCAUACGAUCUACGGAUGAAAGCGGGGGAUCUUCGGACCUCGCGCGGGCGGAGCGGCCGAUGGCAGAUUAGGUAGUUGGUGGGAUAAAAGCUUACCAAGCCGACGAUCUGUAGCUGGUCUGAGAGGAUGAUCAGCCACACUGGGACUGAGACACGGCCCAGACUCCUACGGGAGGCAGCAGUGGGGAAUUUUGGACAAUGGGCGAAAGCCUGAUCCAGCCAUGCCGCGUGCAGGAUGAAGGCCUUCGGGUUGUAAACUGCUUUUGUACGGAACGAAAAGCCUCUUUCUAAUAAAGAGGGGUCAUGACGGUACCGUAAGAAUAAGCACCGGCUAACUACGUG
RNAcentral lists this ribosomal RNA (482 nucleotides) under uncultured bacterium. RNAcentral's name for it is "partial 16S ribosomal RNA". It matches the Rfam family "Bacterial small subunit ribosomal RNA", at positions 30 to 507 of the family's 1533-position model. The record is from RNAcentral.